UACGUAGGGGGCAAGUGUUAUCCGGAUUUACUGGGUGUAAAGGGGGCGCAGACGGCGAUGCAAGCCAGGAGUGAAAGCCCGGGGCCCAACCCCGGGACUGCUCUUGGAACUGCGUGGCUGGAGUGCAGGAGGGGCAGGCGGAAUUCCUGGUGUAGCGGUGAAAUGCGUAGAUAUCAGGAGGAACACCGGUGGCGAAGGCGGCCUGCUGGACUGCAACUGACGUUGAGGCCCGAAAGCGUGGGGAGCAAACAGG
This 253-nucleotide ribosomal RNA is filed under the name uncultured bacterium. RNAcentral describes it as "partial 16S ribosomal RNA". It matches the Rfam family "Bacterial small subunit ribosomal RNA", at positions 524 to 776 of the family's 1533-position model. The record is from RNAcentral.